UGUUAUUCAGUCUGAAGCUUCUAUAUGUGACAUGGUUUUUCGUAUUUUUGACUAUGCAUUUGAGGGUUUAUUGUUUUUUGAUGUUACUUGGUUGAUAUAGGCAGCACAGAUGAGUACUGGAAGAGGCAAGAUGCAGCACAAGUUAUGGCUCUAUUAGUUUGGGAAGGACUUGGGCUUGGAGGGGGAGCUGCUGUUGGAAACUGGAACGGGGAGAAGGAUAAGAAUAAAGUUCUUCUUGGAUUAGGCGGUGGAUAUUAUGCUCCUCGGCAUAUGGAUAUUGUUCUGUAAGU
Long non-coding RNA from Malus domestica (apple), 290 nucleotides. RefSeq lists it as uncharacterized. The record is from RefSeq and is a predicted model, not a curated record. Lineage: Eukaryota; Viridiplantae; Streptophyta; Magnoliopsida; Rosales; Rosaceae.